GGAUGUGAGGGCGAUCUGGCUGUGACAUCUGUCACCCCAUUGAUCGCCAGGGUUGAUUCAGCUGAUCUGGCUGGCUAGGCGGGUGUCCCCUUCCUCCCUCACCGCUCCAUGUGCGUCCCUCCCGAAGCUGCGCGCUCGGUAGAAGAGGACGACCAUCCCAGAUAGAAGGAGUGUACCGUUCUUCGGUCAAGGGUAUACGAUAGCUGCGCUCCCCUGCUAGAACCUCCAAACAAGCUCAUGGACUGGAUGACCUUUGUGAUCCCUUCCAACUCUACAAGUCUCUUCUUCUUCUUUGGCGAUCACUCAUAGUCGAGUAAGA
Non-coding RNA from Podarcis lilfordi (Lilford's wall lizard), 319 nucleotides. Lineage: Eukaryota; Metazoa; Chordata; Lepidosauria; Squamata; Lacertidae. The record is from the annotation of a GenBank genome assembly.